GAUCUGCCAAAAUGAUCCAGUCAAGACUAGAACUCAAUAAGCAGUUUGUGCCAAAACGCCCAGCCAACUGCAGGCUGUUCAAACCAAAGGGUUAUUACUUUCGGCUACGGGACUCUCCUUUUAAGCUCAUGGAGUCCUGUCACUUACAUAGUUCUCUACUCAAAAAAAAAAAAAAGAAAGAAAAAAAGAAAGAAAUGUUUACUUGCAGUGUAUUAACCUGGCUAUUACUUAUCCACUAAAUACUCCAUCUCGUUUGUUUCUCACAUUAAUGUCCUGCUACAACCCACAGGCAGAGCAAAAAUGUCAAGAAGGUUUACUCAUGCCGCCGGCCCCAAAUCACCACGUUGCCAGGCUUACGCUAGAGACCGCCGCUCCCAGGUCUCCCUGGCCGGUGGGCUGGAGUAAAUGAUUCUUUCUCAGCAGCCCUGGCGAGGGUAACUCCCCGAGAUGCCCGACACGUGGCCAAGGCACAGAAGGUCCCCUUCCGCCAAGGUUCGUCAAGUGCUUACUUGGGUCUAGUACUGACUCAGAAGCCAGCAAUAGAGUAAACAAAGCAAGACCAAAGCAGCAGAUAGUCUAACAAAGAAACUCCCUCCCCGGAAUCGGAACACUACGAACGGCUAGCCUUCCUCCCGCUGCUGAGGCGGACCCCAGGUUAGAUGCCCGAGAAUAACAGGGACGCGGGGCCAGGCUGCACGCGCCGCCGGCAGGGACGUGAAAUGCAGCGGCUUCCUUGAGAAACCGCGUGGCAGCUUCUCGGAAGGUUAAGCAUCGCGUUACCACGUGACCCCGAGGAAUACAGCCGGGAGAAAUGAACACACGUCCGUGUCAGACCUGAUCUUUUGUUUGUCGGAAGCGGAAUUUUGAGAUGCUCCUGGAUAUUCUACGUUACAGGAGUCCCUUAACAUCCGGUGUCUCAGAUGCUCGCUAGAAGUUGGUGAGAUAAACAGGACUAGCCAGAUCUCCGUUCCAGAAACAAUUCAGCCUGUCCAACGAUGUCCUCUCCACCCUUUCCCUACUUCCUGCCUCUGAAAAACCACAUUUUCCAAACGGGAAGCCAGGAGCUGGAGAAGCACAGACAGCUAAGUUGCCUGGAUUCGUAAAGAAUGGGUCCUCUGAGUUUGCCCGCUCUCCAUGCAAAUUUCUUUCGCGGCCUCUCUCCAACGACACGACUCGAUCAGCACGAUCUGCUCUCCUUAUCCUACAGGUUCUUCUGUCAAGUUGUCCAGGAAGGAGCACCACCUGGGAGCAGGGCCCAAAACCUACCGGUGUUGAUUAAAAGAUCUUUCCCAGCACGAAGCCUCACCCGCCGAGGUCAAGGCUUAUCCCAAAUGAAACAAUGCUACGCAGCGGGAAGGCUAUGCUAUUGAAAGGGUCCGCUGAACGACAGGCUUUCAGAAGAACGACCCUGGGCUGACACAAUGGAACUUCCCGUGACUACUUCCCUGUGUAUUUUGAUAGCUAGCAACUCAACAGGAGAAAAACAGAAAUCAUAAUGGAAAUGAUGAAACCUAGCUUAAACUUUCUGGAGAAGGGAAGGUGGAAGAGACUCGUAACAAGGAACAACGGCGCCUAAUACCAUCUGCACUCAACAAAAUAGUAAAUGUUAGAUACGGCCACACUGGCAUAGUGUCAUCGUGCUCGAUUAGAAAGGGUGAUCCCCCCAAGCCCCAAAGGCUAUGGCGCUCAUCAACAUGAAAAAUAAUGUUUAAUGGGCAUAAAAGGAGUCCUAUCAACAAGUUUCAUAUUGGCAUAAUCUAUGCAAUUAAAAAAAAAAAAAAAGGUUUUGAUGCUCUGAGUGGUUUGACUCUAACCCUAAAAGAUAAAACCUUCAAGAAAUGCAAGGCAUUAAAAACAAUUCAAUGCAGGACACUUUUUAAAGAAACUGCUAUGAUUUUCAACAAUUUUAGGACAGUAGCUCGAAGUCAACAAAUGUCGAUGAUAAACGCUACUACAUAGAAAGCACUGUGCUAAAACCGAAGAGUUUAUCGAAUCUGGCUGGAGCAGAAAAUCUAGCGGAACACACACACACAACAUUCAGUCGUGUAAAGCAACAGACUGAGAUCGCACGGAGUCCGCGGGGAAGACAGGUGGGGGCUGCAAUAAACGGCAGGCUGGGACCCCGAAAAGCACGUACAGAGGGACUUCAGGUGGGAGCGAACUCCUGAGUAAGCUGGGAAAAUCGUGAGCCCCUUCAAGAGAGAGCUUGGGCACUUACGCUCCAGGGUAUGUGCGUCCCAUCAUUCAUAAAGCAAACGCAUAAAGCGAAAGCUCUGCCAUCUGCUGGAGUAGAACCUAAGACGGGAAACUUCUCUCUUCUUUUAGACAGAAAGAAUGCAC
Panthera uncia (snow leopard) is the source of this 2340-nucleotide long non-coding RNA. RefSeq lists it as uncharacterized. NCBI's taxonomy places the organism in Eukaryota, Metazoa, Chordata, Mammalia, Carnivora, Felidae. The record is from RefSeq and is a predicted model, not a curated record. The transcript is spliced from 5 exons.